This 467-nucleotide ribosomal RNA is filed under the name uncultured bacterium. RNAcentral's name for it is "partial 16S ribosomal RNA". It matches the Rfam family "Bacterial small subunit ribosomal RNA", at positions 28 to 506 of the family's 1533-position model. The record is from RNAcentral.
GACGAACGCUGGCGGCGUGCUUAACACAUGCAAGUCGAACGGAAAGGCCCUGCUUUUGUGGGGUGCUCGAGUGGCGAACGGGUGAGUAACACGUGAGUAACCUGCCCUUGACUUUGGGAUAGCUUCAGGAAACUGGGGCUAAUACCGGAUAGGAGCUCCUGCUGCAUGGUGGGGGUUGGAAAGUUUCGGCGGUUGGGGAUGGACUCGCGGCUUAUCAGCUUGUUGGUGGGGUAGUGGCUUACCAAGGCUUUGACGGGUAGCCGGCCUGAGAGGGUGACCGGCCACAUUGGGACUGGGAUACGGCCCAGACUCCUACGGGAGGCAGCAGUGGGGAAUAUUGCACAAUGGGCGGAAGCCUGAUGCAGCAACGCCGCGUGCGGGAUGACGGCCUUCGGGUUGUAAACCGCUUUCGCCUGUGACGAAGCGUGAGUGACGGUAAUGGGGAAAGAAGCACCGGCUAACUACGU